This 128-nucleotide ribosomal RNA is filed under the name uncultured eukaryote. RNAcentral's name for it is "partial small subunit ribosomal RNA". It matches the Rfam family "Eukaryotic small subunit ribosomal RNA", at positions 1651 to 1777 of the family's 1831-position model. The record is from RNAcentral.
CCCUGCCCUUUGUACACACCGCCCGUCGCUCCUACCGAUUGAAUGACCCGGUGAGGCUUUCGGACCGGCCACACUUUGUUGGAAACAACAGGCGUGGCCAGGAAGAUAUCCUAACCUUGCCAUUUAGA